Molecule: long non-coding RNA, 609 nt
Organism: Erinaceus europaeus (western European hedgehog)
Lineage: Eukaryota; Metazoa; Chordata; Mammalia; Eulipotyphla; Erinaceidae
Exons: 3
Source: RefSeq, a predicted model, not a curated record
CCAGGCCCGAGUCUGAAAGUGCAGAGUCCUGAAGGCUGCAUGCCCAUUCUGGGUCACCCUCCUGCCUGCCUCUCAUUGGUCACAACCUGCUCUCCCACCCCUGGGCCUCCUUGACUCUGUCUGCAAGCGCUCAGGCCCCAUCCCCACCCAGCUGGCCACACUUAAACGCCUUGAGUCAGCACUGAACCGACACACCUGUGGGCUGUAGCCUUGAGCCGCAUUCAGCCUUCCAUGGGCUCCCUCCGGCAGGGGACUCUGGUGGUUGCAGCUGGGCUGGGGAUGCUUUGACGACCCUCAGGACAGACGUGACCCCACCCCAAACAUCAGUGACCAUGAGGCAUGGAGUCUUCUGACUCAGAACCAGGCACAUGGUUUGCGCUUCUGACACUGGCAGUGACGAUGAUGCCUCAACACCUCUAGGUUCCAGAGAGUACCAUGAUGCCAUCCUGACUUCCCUGGACACACUAGGGAAAGAGAGGCAGGCUGGGAGUAUGGAUCCACCUGUCAACACCCAUGUUCAGCGGGGAAGCAAUUACAGAAGCCAGACCUUCCACCUUCUGCAUCCCACAACGACCCUGGGUCCAUACUCCCAGAGGGUUAAAGAAUAGG